UACGUAGGGCGCAAGCGUUGUCCGGAAUUAUUGGGCGUAAAGAGCUCGUAGGCGGUCUGUCGCGUCGGAUGUGAAAGCCCGGGGCUUAACCCCGGGUCUGCAUUCGAUACGGGCAGACUAGAGUGUGGUAGGGGAGAUCGGAAUUCCUGGUGUAGCGGUGAAGUGCGCAGAUAUCAGGAGGAACACCGGUGGCGAAGGCGGGUCUCUGGGCCGAUACUGACGCUGAGGAGCGAAAGCGUGGGGAGCGAACAGG
Molecule: ribosomal RNA, 253 nt
Filed under: uncultured bacterium
Lineage: Bacteria
Description: partial 16S ribosomal RNA
Rfam family: Bacterial small subunit ribosomal RNA
Source: RNAcentral